GAAUGCAUUGCAUGCAUGAACUGUAAAAUUGAUUGGGCAAAUUCCAGAUUUAAGCCUUUCCUGGUAGUUCAGCAAUGAGCGUUAGUUGAUUGGGUACUUCGAUUCAGAUGUCUAUAACCGGAUCUGAACUAUCGUGAUGUUUAGUGUUCAAUCAAACAGCUUCGAUGUGAGUGGGGCUCAAGAAUGUGAAUUUGGGAUCCUGCAAUUAGGGUUUUACUUUCUCUUUUACUUUUGAUUACUCUGUUAUUAGCAACAUUGUUUCAUUCUUCUUUUGACACUCCAUCAGGAUACUUGAGAUUGAAUAUAACUGGGUUAUUUGAAGCGUUUCUCACUGUGUCAUAUAGAUUUGUGCAUUUAGCAUCAAGCAUGUUAUAUACAGACAACUAAUAAAAAUUUGAUAAUGGCAGGUUAUGAUUCACUAUGCUUACAAUUGGGUUGUUCAUUUGACAUUGUAUAUUUCUUUCUGACAAUCUACCUUCGUCUGUGAUCGGGUGGGACUUCAUGUUAUCGUGGUGUUCUUCCUUUUACUUCUCUUUUCACAAGGAUAGAUUUUAUCUUUGUUUAAUUAGGCAUUCAUGUGAUUAUUACACGUUGCACUGUGAAGACGUGGAAAGAAGUUUGGCUAUGGGAAACUUGGGAAGGAGCCAACUGUUGAGACAAGCUUUCUGCCCUGAUAGGAAUGUUAUAUAUGUGUAGUUGAAUUUGCUGUGUUUUUUUUCUUUCAGCAGCUGAAAAGAAACUUUGUUUUACUGAUUGCUUAGCUUAUGACUUUGCGUUUGUGGCAACGAUGAUUUUUCAGGGAGAGAGAAGCAGAGGAACAAGCAGAACGAGAACGAUUAUGACGUCAAUGGCUACAUGAGCAGGAAUUGAUUAAAAGUAUUCAGAAACUUAUACUGCCAUGUAGUUUCUGCUUAUGUAGUCACUAGUUAGUGAUCAUGUAGUCAGGGGGCUGGGGGAGCGCGGCGCCGAAGUCAUCUCCUCCUCCCCUCGUCGGCCGUCGGAUGGUUAACUUAAAGAGUAGGAGGGGGAGGGAGAGUGAGUA
This 1042-nucleotide long non-coding RNA is filed under the name Musa acuminata (dwarf banana). RNAcentral describes it as "long non-coding RNA (MACU_LNC009255)". Lineage: Eukaryota; Viridiplantae; Streptophyta; Magnoliopsida; Zingiberales; Musaceae. The record is from RNAcentral.